CCCUUAGAUGUUCUGGGCCGCACGCGCGCUACACUGAGCCCUUCAUCGAGUUUACAACCUUGGCCGGUAGGUCUGGGUAAUCUUCUCAAAGGGGCUCGUGCUGGGGAUAGAUUAUUGUAAUUUUUAAUCUUCAACGAGGAAUUCCUAGUAAACGCAAGUCAACAGCUUGCAUUGAUUACGUCCCUGCCCUUUGUACACACCGCCCGUCGCUACUACCGAUUGAAUGGCUUAGUGAGCCCGAGGGACUGUUGCACCUAGAGGGUUUUCUCUCCAGGAGCAGCCGGGAACUCGGUCAAACUUGAUCAUUUAGAGGAAGUAAAAGUUGUAACA
RNAcentral lists this ribosomal RNA (330 nucleotides) under uncultured eukaryote. RNAcentral's name for it is "partial 18S ribosomal RNA". It matches the Rfam family "Eukaryotic small subunit ribosomal RNA", at positions 1470 to 1796 of the family's 1831-position model. The record is from RNAcentral.